CAGUAGCCGCGGUAAUACAGAGGGUGCGAGCGUUAAUCGGAUUUACUGGGCGUAAAGCGUGCGUAGGCGGCUUCUUAAGUCGGAUGUGAAAUCCCUGAGCUUAACUUAGGAAUUGCAUUCGAUACUGGGAAGCUAGAGUAUGGGAGAGGAUGGUAGAAUUCCAGGUGUAGCGGUGAAAUGCGUAGAGAUCUGGAGGAAUACCGAUGGCGAAGGCAGCCAUCUGGCCUAAUACUGACGCUGAGGUACGAAAGCAUGGGGAGCAAACAGGGUUAGAGACCCGAGUAGUCCCUGUCUCUUAUAC
Molecule: ribosomal RNA, 301 nt
Filed under: uncultured bacterium
Lineage: Bacteria
Description: partial 16S ribosomal RNA
Rfam family: Bacterial small subunit ribosomal RNA
Source: RNAcentral